GUUCUGGCCCUCCAGGGUUCAGGCCCUCCAGGGUUCUCGCCCUCCAGGGUUCUGGCUCUCCAGGGUUCUGGCCCUCCAGGGUUCUGGCCUUCCAGGGUUCUCACCCUCCAGGGUUCAGGCCCUCCAGGGUUCUCGCCCUCCAGGGUUCUGGCUCUCCAGGGUUCUGGCCCUCCAGGGUUCUGGCCUUCCAGGGUUCUCGCCCUCCAGGGUUCUGGCCCUCCAGGGUUCUCGCCCUCCAGGGUUCUGGCUCUCCAGGGUUCUGGCUCUCCAGGGUUCUGGCUCUCCAGGGUUCUCGCCCUCCAGGGUUCUGGCCCUCCAGGGUUCUCGCCCUCCAGGGUUCUGGCUCUCCAGGGUUCUGGCCCUCCAGGGUUCUGGCCUUCCAGGGUUCUGGCCCUCCAGGGUUCUGGCCCUCCAGGGUUCUGGCCCUCCAGGGUUCUGGCCCUCCAGGGUUCUGGCCCUCCAGGGUUCUGGCCCUCCAGGGUUCUGGCUGUGGGAGGAAGCUUCCUGAUGUUUGGGUGUGCAGACCCAAACUAUAGAGGUGUAAUCUAUGUCUUGUUCUCCUUUAGGGCCAGUAUGGAAAUUACCAGCAAUAAAGAACAAGCAUUGUCUUUGGACCCUUCAUAGUAGUAUGUUCUGGACAAGCCGGUGGCAGUUCUGAUGAGUAGCGACAUGUUGGUCACCCUCUCUGCCCAGUGCCGUGUCUGCAUGAGAGGCAGGCUGGUUUCAUGCUGGGCGUGAUGCUGUGUGCACCACUGACUGCGAUAUGGCGUGACAUGUCUGGUGCUGUGUAAAGUAUUGUAUAUCGGUACGAUGGGGAGGUUGUCCUGUUUGUGUCCCCUGCCCGCUCCCUGAUGUUCUUAGCUAGCUUGGGGGGGGGUUACCGUGUCAUCACAUGUUCUGUGCCUGGUGAUGAGACAAUGUCUAAGAGACAUCAUGGUCCAUGCUGCUGUGAACAGACUCAGUCUGCCCCCUCUCAUACCAUUGUUGCAAAGUGGACUGUAAAUGUUUCUUCAACUGGCGGCUCAUAGCUUGACAUACAUACACCGCUAGGUGACCAUUUCUUCUGUGCCUAAGUAGGGCUUGAGGACACCUUCUGUGUCUUGGGUCAUGUCACUAUAACAAGGAAGAUGUGCUUUGUGUGCAAGGACCAUGAGCUGUCCUUUCCAGAACUUACCAAUUGCCUGUGUCUCUCCAGUUUCCAUGAUCCCAAAGGAUGUCUUUGUAUUAGCGAGUAAAGAAGGAUCGAUGACUAUUCCAAAUGACAGUCGGUGAGAGUGUGGGCAUCGUGAGGGGAGCUUUCACUAAGGAGGGCGCUGUCUGAAGAGCAAUUCUUGCUGUCUCCGAGCUGCUUGUGUGUAGUAUGGCUUUGGCCCUUGGCGUCAUCUCUAGGAUUUGAGUGUGCCCAAACCUAAGUUUAUAGAGAAUUUAAAGUACUCAUGUUUAAUUUUACAAGCAGUUGGCAAGUGUUUAUAUUACUUCUUCAGGACCUCUGAGUUCAGAUUGCCAAGCAGAUGUUCCUUUGCGUUUAGGGAAGUCUGAAAUCCACACUGCAUUUUUAAUGAAUCCAAAUAACUUUAUUACGUUCUUUCAAAUGAAAAGGACAAGUUUUAUACAGUGAGAAUUGGGUGAUUUUUUUUUUUUUUACAUUCCUAGGAUGUUUAAUCUCGUUUUAAUUCUGUGCAAACAUGAGAGACAGCCUUUUUGAAAAGGUUCUAUCAAAGGAAAACACCGCAUAUAAUGCAGCAGGCAUAUUUUUCAGCAUUUAUUUAGAUAAUAACAAUGUUACUAUG
Molecule: long non-coding RNA, 1790 nt
Filed under: Mus musculus (house mouse)
Lineage: Eukaryota; Metazoa; Chordata; Mammalia; Rodentia; Muridae
Description: long non-coding RNA chr2:180066765-180068555
Source: RNAcentral